AGGACCAACCUUGAAGGACCGAUUCCUCGGAACAUCAGUUCCUGCACUGCACUGAAUCAAUUUAAUGUGCACGGCAACCGAUUGAAUGGUUCCAUUCCAUCUGAAUUCCAGAAGCUGGAGAGUCUAACAUAUCUGCUGUGGACUCUAUGGGGAGAACAGAAUAAUCGUUGCAGUAGGAACCUACGCGGUCAGCUUUGAAGACACUUUUAGGAGGGCAAAAUCAAAGAUUUUGGAGUGGUCUUAUGGAUUGUUAGGGUGGUGUUGUUGUUUUUUUUUUUGGCUUGUAAAUCAAAGUUGUUUUUGCCUAAAUCACUAUUUUGCUGGUUUAUUCAAAUUAAUGAUGCCAGCUCAA
Long non-coding RNA from Magnolia sinica, 352 nucleotides. RefSeq lists it as uncharacterized. The record is from RefSeq and is a predicted model, not a curated record. The transcript is spliced from 3 exons. NCBI's taxonomy places the organism in Eukaryota, Viridiplantae, Streptophyta, Magnoliopsida, Magnoliales, Magnoliaceae.